This 336-nucleotide unclassified non-coding RNA is filed under the name soil metagenome. RNAcentral describes it as "partial contains 5.8S ribosomal RNA, internal transcribed spacer 2, and large subunit ribosomal RNA". The stretch from base 1 to 120 matches the Rfam family "5.8S ribosomal RNA", at positions 35 to 154 of the family's 154-position model. The record is from RNAcentral.
GAUGAAGAACGUAGCGAAAUGCGAUAAGUAGUGUGAAUUGCAGAAUUCAGUGAAUCAUCGAAUAUUUGAACGCACAUUGCGCCCCUUGGUAUUCCAUGGGGCAUGCCUGUUCGAGCGUCAUUUGUACCUUCAAGCUUUGCUUGGUGUUGGGUGUUUGUCUCGCCUUUGCGUGUAGACUCGCCUUAAAAUAAUUGGCAGCCGGCGUAUUGAUUUCGGAGCGCAGUACAUCUCGCGCUUUGCACUCAUAACGACAGCGUCCAAAAGUACAUUUUACACUCUUGACCUCGGAUCAGGUAGGGAUACCCGCUGAACUUAAGCAUAUCAAUAAGCGGAGGA